AUAUUUACCUGGCAAGGGAGUUUAAUAUGAUCACAAAGGUGGUUUUCCAAGGGUGAGGCAUACCCAUUCUACUCUGAGUGUGCUGACCUCUGUGAUUUCCCCAAAUGUGGGAAAUUUGACUGCAUAACUUGUGGUAGUGGAGGACAGUGUUCGUGCUCUCCCCUG
Molecule: small nuclear RNA, 165 nt
Organism: Pteronotus mesoamericanus
Lineage: Eukaryota; Metazoa; Chordata; Mammalia; Chiroptera; Mormoopidae
Product: U1 spliceosomal RNA
Exons: 1
Source: RefSeq, a predicted model, not a curated record